GUCAUCAAAUGAAGAUAAAUUAAAUCAAUCUUAGGACACCUUUGGACACAGCUUUUAUGUUGUGGAUGAAAAGAACAAUUAUCCUGAUGAUGAC
Small nucleolar RNA from Erigeron canadensis, 94 nucleotides. RefSeq annotates it as small nucleolar RNA snoR31/Z110/Z27. The record is from RefSeq and is a predicted model, not a curated record. The transcript has a single exon. NCBI's taxonomy places the organism in Eukaryota, Viridiplantae, Streptophyta, Magnoliopsida, Asterales, Asteraceae.